CGGGUGAGUAACGCGUGGAUAACCUGCCUCACACUGGGGGAUAACAGUUAGAAAUGACUGCUAAUACCGCAUGAGCGCACAGUACCGCAUGGUACGGUGUGAAAAAACUCCGGUGGUGUGAGAUGGAUCCGCGUCUGAUUAGCCAGUUGGCGGGUAACGGCCCACCAAAGCGACGAUCAGUAGCCGACCUGAGAGGGUGACCGGCCACAUUGGGACUGAGACACGGCCCAA
RNAcentral lists this ribosomal RNA (231 nucleotides) under uncultured bacterium. Its description in RNAcentral is "partial 16S ribosomal RNA". It matches the Rfam family "Bacterial small subunit ribosomal RNA", at positions 103 to 334 of the family's 1533-position model. The record is from RNAcentral.